This 417-nucleotide unclassified non-coding RNA is filed under the name soil metagenome. RNAcentral's name for it is "partial contains 5.8S ribosomal RNA, internal transcribed spacer 2, and large subunit ribosomal RNA". The stretch from base 1 to 120 matches the Rfam family "5.8S ribosomal RNA", at positions 35 to 154 of the family's 154-position model. The record is from RNAcentral.
GAUGAAGAACGUAGCGAAAUGCGAUAAGUAAUGUGAAUUGCAGAAUUCAGUGAAUCAUCGAAUCUUUGAACGCAUCUUGCGCUCCUUGGUAUUCCUUGGAGCAUGCCUGUUUGAGUAUCAUGAGCAAAUCUCAAAGUCAAUUCCUUUUGUUGAUUCAAUUGGUUUUGCUUUGGACUUGGAGGCCUUGCAGAUUUCACAGUCUGCUCCUCUUAAAUGCAUUAGCUGGAUCUCAGUAAUUAUGCUUGGUUACACUCGGCGUGAUAAGUAUCACUCGCUGAGGACACUGUUAAAAAGGUGGCCAGGAAAAUACUGAUUGAACCGCUUCUAACGGUCUAUUAAGUUAGACAAUUACCCUUAAGUUUGAUCUCAAAUCAGGUAGGACUACCCGCUGAACUUAAGCAUAUCAAUAGCGGAGGA